This 434-nucleotide ribosomal RNA is filed under the name uncultured bacterium. RNAcentral's name for it is "partial 16S ribosomal RNA". It matches the Rfam family "Bacterial small subunit ribosomal RNA", at positions 29 to 507 of the family's 1533-position model. The record is from RNAcentral.
AGCGAACGCUGGCGGCAGGCCUAACACAUGCAAGUCGAACGAACCUUUCGGGGUUAGUGGCGGACGGGUGAGUAACACGUGGGAACGUGCCUUUGAGUUCGGAAUAACUCAGGGAAACUUGUGCUAAUACCGAAUGUGCCCUUCCGGGGAAAGAUUUAUCGCCAUUAGAGCGGCCCGCGUCUGAUUAGCUAGUUGGUUGAGGUAAUGGCACACCAAGGCGACGAUCAGUAACUGGUAUGAGAGGAUGGUCAGGCACAUCGGGACUGAGACGCGGCCCAAACUCCUGCGGGAUGGGGCAGUGGCGAAUCUUGCGCAAUCGGGGAAAGCCUGAAGCAGCCAUGCCGCGUGAAUGAUGAAGGUCUUAGGAUUGUAAAAUUCUUUCACCGGGGACGAUAAUGACGGUACCCGGAGAAUAAGCCCCGGCUAACUUCGUG